This 6985-nucleotide long non-coding RNA is filed under the name Lathyrus oleraceus (garden pea). RNAcentral's name for it is "Pisum sativum (pea) long non-coding RNA (PSAT_LNC032367)". Lineage: Eukaryota; Viridiplantae; Streptophyta; Magnoliopsida; Fabales; Fabaceae. The record is from RNAcentral.
UUAUAGGCAACGUCUCUUCCAGAGAUAGUGAUGACACUCCCAUUAUAUUUUCCUUCAAACAAAGCAAAGUUCAUAACCAUAAGAAAAUCGAGCUCAGUUUGUGAGGUAGAUGCCAAAAACCCUUGUGCCCUGCCUAACAACUUCGAGCUCAAUUUUGGUCCUAACGUUAAAGCGUUGUCAAAUAUCCUCACUAAACCAAAAACACUAUAAUCGUUGUCGAAUUUGGGGAGAGGUGGAAUAAUUGGAAUGGACGUAGCGUUGUUUCCUCCAACAAUGUCUUGCCAGUAGAAUCUAAAAUGACUAAAAUUUUCUUUCUUUUUAAACAACUUAGGAUUUAUUGAGCUCACAAAACCGGUCUCCUCUUGUUCACUGAAGAUUGUGAGGAUGUAGCAAGAGAUGAUAAGAAGGAAGAAGAAGAAAUUUUGAAAAGAACCCAUAGCCAUAUGUUUACUAUGAUUAGGGCAAAACACUUUUUUUAAUCCAACAAAAAUGAAAUUAGUGAAGAGAAAAUUUAUGAGUAAGGUGAAAUUAGGAAACUUAGGAUCUAAAUGAGUAAGUGUGAUAAGUAUACAUUUUUCAGACAAUUAUAUAGAACAAUGCAACCUUGACUGAAUAACACAUGAUGUAGUUAAUUGUAGAAAUAAUGAAAAAUAUAUCAAUUUUUAUUCCAUUUUUCAAAGAUUUUUGGUCUUUGCAAGUGACUUGAAAAAUGUACUAUUAUAUAUUUUGUGGAAAAGCUUUUUUUAAAAUAAUUUUCUAGCGAUUAGGUUUGGACCAUAGAUUCUUUUUCUCAUAAUAAUACAAUGAUAUAGUUGAAAUUAAGACUCAUAAUCUCAUAUGAAUUAUUAAAAUAUUUUAACACCGGGACUUCAACUUUAGCAUAUUAAGAAAUUGAAACAUUGACUAAUAUGUAAUUCGUUGAACUUUUUCUAUAUAUUUAAAGGAACAGUUUUUUUUUCUUUCCUAAUAAUAAAAUGAUAAGCUUGAAAUUUAAACUCAUAAUGCCGUGCGAAUUAUUUAAAUAUCUCAAUACUAAGGGUUCAAUUUUAGGCUUAGCAUAAAUAGAAAAUAUCAUUCGUAGUAAUUUACACGUGGAAUUAUAGAUAAAUAUUUUUAAUUCCAAGAAAUUUCAACUACAGAACAUUUUAUAUGAUGUCAUUUGUUUUAUUUAUUUAUUUAUUUGUCUUAUGUAGAUAUCGUAAUGGUUGUUGUGGCACCAUUUAACCUAUAUCCUGUCUUAGGUUCAUUAAUAAAUAACUCUAGUCAAAUGGUGCCACUACCGGAGGAUCAAAUUAUGCUACUCAAGCAAUGUCGACUUUGAAUGUGGAAUUUCUUAUGUCGAUGAGACAGUAAAUGGCUGAAAGUAAUCAUAAAAUAGUUAACAUGUUGACUCAAUAGAUUGAUACUGUGUUCAAUCUCUUAUUUCAGAACACCGAUCAAAGUCACUAUAAGAAAAACGAUCUCCAAACACAUUAUAUAGUGAAGAGAAAAUCACGUGGCAAUAAAAGGGAGUUGCGAUGUGAAUAUCACGCGGCUACAUAUUUUUAUUAUUAAAAAAUUGACACUGUUGUAUGCACAUAGGAAAAACAUAAAAAAAAAUUAAAACAAAACUUUGUGACGUGUUAAUCACAUCGCAACUUUAAAAAUAAAAUAAAAAAUAAAAGAAGUUAGGCGUGUAAAAAUUAGCACAUGAGAAAGACAAAAAAAAUUUUAAAAAAAAUAUUGAGAUGUGGUAAUCAUGUCACAACUUUAAAAGUAAAAGAAGUCAGAAGUGCACAGGUUAGCAGGUGGGGGAAAUUUGAAAAUUUCAAAAUUUUAGUUGUGACGUGAAAAUCACAUCGCAACUUGAAUUUCAGAAACUAAAAAAAAGAGUAAAUGAGGGACGCUGACUUGAUGAUGAACGUUUGACUGACACAUUUAUUUGACCGUUAGAGAGUUGCGAUGUGAAUUUUAUUUCGCAAGGUUGCGACGUGAAAUUCACGCUGAAUUGACUAUAUAAAUUUCAUUUCCUCUAUUACGCUCAGAAUCAUAUUCACCUCUUCCUCUCAAAUUCAUUUCUCAAUUCAUUUCAUCAACAUAUUUCAUCUUCAAAUUUCUUCCCCUAAUAUUAUCUUUCUCAAAAGGUAUUUUAAGAUAAUUUAAUUUUUUCAUUUUUUAUUUGUUAAAUAUUAUGUUGAUUUUUUAAUUGUAUAACUAAUACUCUUAAUUUUUUUCUUCAAGAUUCAUCAAGAUAUAUCACAAUUCAAACAUCAAGGUUUAAAAAUCAAGUUUUUGUUUAUCAUCAUUGAUAUAUUUUAGAAAUUUAUUUAAUUUUUUUCCCAGUAUAUAUAUAUAUAUAUAUAUAUAUAUAUAUAUAUAUAUGGUUGUUGGUUGUUGUUAUUGUAAAUUUAUUAUGUAGGAUAAUUUUUUUAAAAACAAAAUAUUAUUAAAAUAAAUCUAUAACUAUUAAUAUAUUUAAAAAUAAUUUAAAAAAAACAGAAUUUAAGUUUCAGUUUUUUCAAUCGUAAUGUUUUCAUUAUCAAUUUUUAAUAUUCUGAAUGUUUGUGAUUCAGAGAUAUAGUGUGACAUUAGCGGUAUGAAUGACUAUUUUGACGGUUUCACGCGGAUCACCAAUGUUUCUUGUGGAAUAAUAUGGUGAACAUUGAUCCUCAGUAAAUGAACAAAUAAUAUUUGUUUAUGGAAAUAAAAGAAAAUCAAUAAAUUCACUUAUUUUAUCCUUCAAUUUAGUCAAAAAAAAAAUUGAGGUAAAAGGUUUUUCUUUUUUACAUAAAAAAUAAAAUAAAAUAUGGACUUUACCCCUAAGUGUUUAUUGCACCAAGGUAAUAGAUUACUUCUAUUACAAAAAAAUUAUGAAUGAAAAAAUUGAAAGUAACAUGCAUUGUUUCCUUUUUCAACUUUUUACCAUUCACCAAAUUUAUUUGUAUGUUGCAAUAAUAAAACAAAGGAUAUUCUAAACAAAUUUUCUAAGAUCUAGUUUUGUAAAACAAAAAAAAUUGCAAUAUGAUUAGGAAUAAAUUUCUCAAUAUUGUCAAUCAAAGAAAUGAAUAUAUUAUAGAAUGUUUUCUUCGACUGACAAUAUUGAAAAUUUAUUCUAAUAUAUAACAAUAUUUCUUUUACCAUUCAAUAUUGGCAAGAAAUAGAAACAACAACAACACACCAUUAUGUGAGAUAAACUAUAAUAACAGAAAAAUGAUUUGUUUGAGUUUGAUGUUAGAAGAACAACAACACAAAACAAAAUAAUUUUUCAGUCUUGAAAUCCAUCCAAAAAAAUGAUGUUUAUAUUAUAUAUAUAUAUAUAUAUAUAUAUAUAUACACAAAACAAAAUAAUUUUUCAGUCUUGAAAUCCAUCCAAAAAAAUGAUGUUUAUAUUAUAUAUAUAUAUAUAUAUAUAUAUAUAUAUAUAUAUAAACGAGUUAGAUUUAUUUAGGAUAAAAUUUAGUGAACGAAUCCUUUUAUAGCUAAUUCCGGGUAUCAUAUCCUCGGUUAUUAGGCAAACAAAUGAAAUAGAUUAUUCAAUAAUUUAAUGAAAAUUAAAAUAAAAAGAAAGACACCCCUUUUAAUGAAAUAAAAAUAAAAACUACAAUUGCUGGGAUCGAAGCCUAACCCUGAAUCAUUAUACCCCUCGCUUAUAAUGAAUAAUUGAGGGAAUAAAUGGUAUUGUUUUUGAAAAAAAUAAUAACGUAGUGCGUCUAAGAAUUAUACCUCGGAUUUUUGUUAGGUGAGGUGAAAGUGCUGUGAUAAAAUGUAUUUUUUGUAGUAGUGAAAGCCUUACAUCUAAACAUUCUUAAGUAACCAUAUAAGAGAUAUUUUUUCCCAAUACAUACUUGGUUUUGAAAAUCACCUUCAAGUGGAACAAAAGGAUAAAGGUUGAUCAAAUCCACUACACUUGCCAAUGCUUCACCCCCAAAAGGCAUUUGAUAAAUUUGCAUGAGAGAUCAUACACCUAAUUCUGUUAUUAAUCAUACGAUUUAUUCUCUCUAUAACUCCAUAAUAUUGAAGCGUCUUUGGAAUAGUCUUCUCAAACUUGAUUCCAUGAUCUUUGAAAGAUUGUUUGAAUGGACCUCUAUACUCUCUGCCAUUUUUUAGCUCUGACACGUUUUAUCCUCCUUCCUUUUUCUCUUUAAACACUUGCAUGAAAGUGCUUGAAAACACUUAUUACGUGGUCUUCAAAAUUCAAAACAAAAGCUCAUGCAUUUUUAGAGUGGUCGUCAAUAAAAGUAACAAAAUAUGAUGCACCACUUAAAGAUUUAUCAUCCAUCAUGUAAAUAUCAGUGUGACCUAAAUCUAAAAUAGUUGGCCUCCUAUGAGGACAAUUACUAUGAAAUGGACCUCUAUGUUGCUUAAAAAUAAUAAUUAGUACAAGUUUUAAGAGGGGUACCUUUUAUUGGAAGAAAAACUUUCUUUAAAAGAAUGUGAGUCCUUUCUCACUAAAGUGACCAAGGUGAGUAUUCCCUAAAUAAUUAGAUGCAUCUUUAACUCUAAUCAUUCCCCCACUCUUCAAUAACUUUGUAGAUAUCUUGUAUAGACAUGUGCGACUUUUCUCCUUUGCUACCACGAGUGACCGUUUAGGGAUCUUACAUAGGUCAUCACUGUUAAAGUAAGUGUGAUAAUCCUUAAUAUCCAAGACUUUGGAAGAAAUUAAGUUGGGACGAAUAUCAGUAACAUGUCUCUCAUUCUUAAAUUGAAGCUUACAUCCAACACUAGUUUCAUCUCAAACAUUUCCAUUUUGACAAUUCAAAAGCCACCAACGGUAUAUGAUGAGAAGAAAUUGCACCUAAAAAAGUAACAUGGUUCGAGAAACAUGAAUCAGUAAUCCAAAUUGAAUCAUAACAUGUAAGGUUUGUGAAAUUAUCAUCAUAAACAUGUAAACAUCAUUGUAUGUGCAACUGUUGCCCUGUCUUUAUUAUUUUUCUUCUCACUGCCUUUAUCUUUUUUCUUGAAUAUUCUCUUUUAAGAAACCUAUAGUUUAUUUUUAUGUGUCACACCUUACCACAUUUGUAUCGUAUGACUUCUUUUUUAGCUUCUGAAUUGAUGCGUUUCUCAAAUUUGUGACACUUCUGAAACUUUCUAAUUUUGUUUCUCCCUCGUAAUUCUGAAACCUGAGCUUUUGAAUGAUUAGGAGAAAAAUCAAAUCAUACUCCUUUCUUAUAGCUUCUUCAUUAAACAUAUUGUAUUUAACUAACAUUAUCAAUUUUCUAUUUAAUGCAGAAUUAGUAAAUGUCAUAACAAAAAUUUCCCAAUAGAAUUCAUAAAUAUUAUUAAUAAAAGCAUCUUCGAUGCAUGUUCUCACUAGGAUUCCUAAAUAUAAUAAUAAGUUUUGUUGAAACAAAUAAAAAAAUUAGAGAAUGCUUCAUUUAUAAUUUUUAAACAAAGAUUAUAUUAAGAGAGUACAAAGUAUACUCUAACCUUUAUCCAAGUGAUUCCAAAUUGUAGAAAUACAAGCCAAAGGAUUUAGGCUCCAAAUUUAAAAUAAAAAAAAAACCCUUUAAAUUCUUUAGAGUUUAGAACCAACCAUUCCCAAAUUAAAAAUUUGACUUGAAAAAUUUGUUCUACCUCAAAACAAUACAUUGUUCCUACCUAAUUAGUUUUUGGCAAUAUUCAAUUACAAAAUAGUUUUUAUACUAUUAACUAUCUUUUCACUUAUCAAUUAACUUAUAAUCUAUUUUUAUCGAACAAAAUCUAAAGAAUAUGAAACAGUUUAAAAGUUUUGUUCUAACUUUUUAAAGUCAUAAAGAAGAAUAUCAAACAAAAAGAAGUAUAAUAUAUUUCUUUAAAAUCAUUUUUUAUUAAUAAUUUCUAUUUAUGCUAUAUAAUAAUUAAUAAGAAUAUCGAUAAAAUAUAUUAAAAUCUUUUGAUUUAAUUUAUGAUAAUACAAGUUAGUUUAGUGGUCACUUAUUUAUAUUUUAGCAUGUCAUGAUAUCAAAAAAAGUUUGGGAUCUCAUGAUCAUUUAGUUAGAGUAGCUCGUUGUCGCAGAAAAAAUAUACAUCUCGACUUUAAAAUUUUCAAUUUAACUAUUCCAAAAAUUAUAGAAGACAUUAAACUCAGUUUUAAAAAUAUCGGAAACUAAAACUUAACUUUAUUCAAAACCAUGAAACCAAAAAUUCAUUUAAACUAACUGUUUCAAAUCAUUUGAGUUAUCUCUUUCCCCUUAUUCAAAACAAUGAAACUAAAAAUUCAUUUAAACUUAAAAAAUAUUUAUACAAAUAUGUUUAAUGACAUCUCACUAUAUAGCAAAUAUAAGAUAUGAUAUAAGUAAUGCAUGUGGCAAAGAAAUUAUAUUAUUAAUAUUAACAAUUAAUCUCUUAGUCUUUGAAUUUUAUUGAAACAAGCAUUCUUACUCUCUUUGCCAAAUCUAAAGUGUGAAAAUUAUCAAAAAAAAUUAUCUAGACGAAAUAAUAGUAAUUACUAAAAUUUCAUACACAAUAAUAAGAAAAAAGCUUUGAAUUCAAAAAUUAGUUUUAAAGUAUAUGAGAUAUAUUUCAAUAAUGCAAAGUUUUAUUAUUCGAAUCAUGAUAUUGAUUACAAUUACACACCAACAAACAAGAUACAGAUCACGAUAUCAAUCCUCACAUGAAAAACAUGCAAAGAUAAACAUCAUCACUAGUUAUUAACAACAAAACAAAAAACAUCAAUACUGAUGAGAAACAAAGACAUUGUAUUCAACAACUGUAUUUCCUUUUAUUGGAUCAAAAGAGAUUGUGUUAGCUUCAGCAUAUCCCUUAGCAAAUCGAAAAACACCGCUCCCUCCAAUCACAGGCAAUUCUCUUACCUUACUAUUGACAAUAUUCCUUCCUAAGAUAGAGAUGACGCUCCCGUUAUAUUUUCCUUCAAACAACGCAAAGUUCAUAACCAUAAGAAAAUCGAACUCGGUUUGUGAGGUAGAUGCAUAAAACCCUUGUGCUCUACCUAACAAUUUCGAGCUCAAUUGUGGUCCUAACGUUAAAGCGUUGUCAAUUAUCCUCACUAAACCAAAAGCACUAAAUG